GACGAACGCUGGCGGCAUGCCUAAUACAUGCAAGUCGAGCGAACAGAUGAAGUGCUUGCACUUCUGACGUUAGCGGCGAACGGGUGAGUAACACGUAAGGAAUCUACCUAUAAGCGGGGGAUAACAUUCGGAAACGGGUGCUAAUACCGCAUAAUAUCUUCUUCCGCAUGGAAGAAGAUUGAAAGACGGCUCUGCUGUCACUUAUAGAUGACCUUGCGGUGCAUUAGUUAGUUGGUGGGGUAACGGCCUACCAAGACGAUGAUGCAUCGCGGGCCUGAGGGGGUGAUCGGCCACAUUGGGACUGAGACACGGCCCAAACUCCUACGGGAGGCAGCAGUAGGGAAUCGUCCGCAAUGGGCGAAAGCCGGACGGAGCAAUGCCGCGUGAGUGAAGAAGGCCUUCGGGUCGUAAAACUCUGUUAUAAGAGAAGAACAAAUUGUAGAGUAACUGCUACAGUCUUGACGGUAUCUUAUCAGAAAGCCACGGCUAACUACGUGCCAGCAGCCGCCGUAA
Molecule: ribosomal RNA, 513 nt
Filed under: uncultured bacterium
Lineage: Bacteria
Description: partial 16S ribosomal RNA
Rfam family: Bacterial small subunit ribosomal RNA
Source: RNAcentral